ACUCCUGCGGGAGGCAGCAGUGGGGAAUAUUGGACAAUGGGCGCAAGCCUGAUCCAGCCAUGCCGCGUGAGUGAUGAAGGCCCUAGGGUUGUAAAGCUCUUUCACCGGUGAAGAUAAUGACGGUAACCGGAGAAGAAGCCCCGGCUAACUUCGUGCCAGCAGCCGCGGUAAUACGAAGGGGGCUAGCGUUGUUCGGAUUUACUGGGCGUAAAGCGCACGUAGGCGGACUAUUAAGUCAGGGGUGAAAUCCCGGGGCUCAACCCCGGAACUGCCUUUGAUACUGGUAGUCUUGAGUUCGAGAGAGGUGAGUGGAAUUCCGAGUGUAGAGGUGAAAUUCGUAGAUAUUCGGAGGAACACCAGUGGCGAAGGCGGCUCACUGGCUCGAUACUGACGCUGAGGUGCGAAAGCGUGGGGAGCAAACAGGAUUAGAAACCCUGGUAGUCCCA
RNAcentral lists this ribosomal RNA (446 nucleotides) under uncultured organism. RNAcentral's name for it is "partial 16S ribosomal RNA". It matches the Rfam family "Bacterial small subunit ribosomal RNA", at positions 335 to 797 of the family's 1533-position model. The record is from RNAcentral.